Molecule: unclassified non-coding RNA, 391 nt
Filed under: soil metagenome
Description: partial contains 5.8S ribosomal RNA, internal transcribed spacer 2, and large subunit ribosomal RNA
Rfam family: 5.8S ribosomal RNA (bases 1-122)
Source: RNAcentral
GAUGAAGAACGCAGCGAAAUGCGAUACUUGGUGUGAAUUGCAGAAUCCCGUGAACCAUCGAGUCUUUGAACGCAAGUUGCGCCCGAAGCCAUUAAGCCGAGGGCACGCCUGCCUGGGCGUCACACGUCGUUGCCCCCCCAUCUACUCCUUCGGGAUUGCGGGGGGCGGAUGAUGGCCUCCCGUGCGCCUCGUCGCGCGGUUGGCAUAAAUGCCAAGUCCUCGGCGACGCACGCCACGACAAUCGGUGGUUGCGAAACCUCGGUUGCCCGUCGUGUGCGGUCGUCGCGCAUCGAGGGCUCGAAAAAAUUGCCGGGCUCCGGCUCGGCUUUCAACGCGACCCCAGGUCAGGCGGGGUUACCCGCUGAAUUUAAGCAUAUCAAUAAGCGGAGGA